UUUUUUUUCUUCUUUUUUUUAAAUCUAGCCUGCAUUUUUACAGCGUUUCAUCUGACAUUGAACUCAAACAUCUAUAGAAUCAGGUGAUGCAGCCACAUCAGCAGCACUGAAGAAGUAGGGGAUCCUUCACGAGAGAGUCUUGCGCUGUUUCAGAGUAGCAGCU
This 163-nucleotide long non-coding RNA is filed under the name Coturnix japonica (Japanese quail). Its description in RNAcentral is "lncRNA (ENSCJPG00005004864.1)". The record is from RNAcentral. Lineage: Eukaryota; Metazoa; Chordata; Aves; Galliformes; Phasianidae.